GAGAGCCUCAGCGCCGACAGACGUGUGGAGAUAAGGGAGCUGGUUCUCUGAGCGCCUCCAUGUCCGUUUCUCUUCUGAGAGUCUGGCGGCCCCACCGCCCUGCAGCCCCAGCAAGACUCGGCCCAGGAAUGCGUGCAGCUGCGGCCAUUGGGCAGGGAUUCCGCAGUUGCUCCGCGUGUGAUCUGAUGAACACAGGAAACAUUCCAGUGGGAAACUAAUACUGCUUCAGGGAGAACUCACCGGGGAGGCAAAACAGGUCAGAGUGUAGCCCCUCUGUGGGCCCCCGGGCUCCUUCCCCAAAGCACUUGUGCUACGUUUGUGUAUGUAUUGGUUUUAGAAAUCAGCAAAAGAGUCCGAUGCAUGUUGAAUGUGACUGAAAAGAAGAUAUGAAAACUGUGCUCCAAGAAGAACAAGGCUUUUUAUUUGGUCAGAGAAUCUGCGGUUUUCCUGAGCCGGAUAAGAGCAGUGCUUACGGAGUAGUUUCACAGAGGCAGGCCACACCCAGAGCCGGGAUCCGAAGUUGAGGGGAGCAGGUGUUGGGGGCACUGAAUCAUCCCACCACUCUGCCCUGGACCCUGGAGAGCUGCCGACUUGAUGCUCUAAGGCUACUCAGAGCUGUGAGGUUGGGCUGGGGGACUUCCUGGUGGAGAGGUCCACACAGGAGGAGAGCUGCUGCAACUGGCCUUAUAGGCGCCCUCCUAGCUCUGGAGUUGAGUCAGGUACAGGGAGGUGAGGGUCUCAGAACGAAUCCUCACAAACAGCCACCAGUCUUGAUGACUAAGCGAUUUUACUCGGCUCCUGUCUUGUUUUCCUGUUACAGGUGACCUUGUUGCUUGGCUUAUUGUCAGUGUUAUUUGUCACAGGGACACAAAGGUAUUUCAGGAUUAUUUUUGAACCUGCAUCACCUUGCCAUGUGGAUACCUCCUGAUGGUGUAUCAUGGUUAUCACGCUUCACAUUACAUGGCUUUUUCAGAGACCAUGAAAAUAUAAUGCUGCUGCUGCUGCUAAGCCGCUUCAGUCGUGUCUGACUCUUACCGGCCUCAUGGACUGUAGCCUACCAGGCUCCUCCGUCCAUGGGAUUUUCCAGGCAGGGGUACUGGAGUGGGUUGCCAUUGCCUUCUCCAGAAAACAUAAUAGCACAUUA
This 1144-nucleotide long non-coding RNA is filed under the name Capra hircus (goat). RNAcentral's name for it is "lncRNA (ENSCHIG00000005945.1)". Lineage: Eukaryota; Metazoa; Chordata; Mammalia; Artiodactyla; Bovidae. The record is from RNAcentral.